Molecule: long non-coding RNA, 1300 nt
Filed under: Homo sapiens (human)
Lineage: Eukaryota; Metazoa; Chordata; Mammalia; Primates; Hominidae
Description: HSALNT0259379
Source: RNAcentral
GGGAGCCCGGCGGACGCUGGGUCUGCAGAUGCCAUCCAGGCGCACGGCGGGUAUAGUGGUUCCGCAACCUUGGGAUGUUCGGCUGAGCGCCUGCCUAACAUGGGAGCGCCUGCCUAACCCUCCUGACUGGAGGGUCAGCGGCGGGGAGUCCUGGCCUUCAAUCGGCCAUCGCCACGGCAGAAACUGGGGCCCGGGCUGCGUCCAGGCCCUUCCCCGUCCGUCCACAGGUCUCAUGGGCGCCCGGACUGGGGCUGAUGUAGUUUCCCGACCUCUGACACAUAGGAUCUGGAGAUUAAAGCUGCUCUGCUAAUAAUUAGGUUCCCACCUCUCAAGAUCAUUAGGAGCUUCUUUUCCAAUUCCUCUGUUUUGCAUGCAUUGGAAGAUUCACAGGCUGCUCCCCAGAAUACUGAAGAAGAAACUCUAGGAGUGAGACCCAACAAUCUGUGUUUAACAAGUCCCCAGGCCCCUGGAUCCUCCUGGAAUCCCUGAUCCCUGUUGCUCCCUGGCGGAGUUUUCUAGUCCCUCUUACUUGAAGCAUGUCUUUCAGAGCCCGGCACCACCCAAGUUGGGUAUCUGAUACCCCAUCAGCCUGAGUCUCUUAAAGGCCUUUAUACACAUAUGUCUACACAUAGGGAUUUGGAUGAUCUCGGGAUCCCACAUCCUCGCUGUCCCCUGUCCCCCCACAACAUCCCACACCAAUACCUUUCUGAAGUUUUCUAGUCCCUCCUUUUUGUUUGUGGUCCUUAAAGCCCAGCCCCAUGCCUGACUUUGGUUCCCAGUGAGCAUUGUACAUUUGUGGAUAUUAAAUCUUUGGCAAAGUCAUUUACCUGGGCUGGAAUAGGGCUCUUGGCUGAUUCUUUUUCCUAAACACCCACCCAAUGGGAGAGGCUGAUACUCAACAUGCAAACCUUGUGUUUUAUUUCUCCAGGCGAAGGGAUGUUGGAAGACAUUCUGGAAGGGGUGGGGUGUGAAGAUUUACAAAUAAUCUUUGAAUAUCUGCUUCAUGAUAGGUCUUGGAGGUGCCUUGUGGGUGUGGCUUUGGGGGGAUGGUUACGAGGAAAUUGUGGAUAUUAAGGAAGUCAGGAAAGGAAAAGAUCAGUCACAAUUCAACAAUUCAGAGAAAGCUCCUAAGGGACUUUCUGGCUGCUUGAUGCCCAGAGGCCAGGCCCUCACUUCGUAUUAAGGCUCAGGACUGUGGAUAGAGAAUUUAAAGGGGCACCAAAAAAACAUUAAAAUAGAUAAACAUAUUUUUAAUGGAAUACCUUUAAAAAUGCAAAUCAAUGCACAAAGAAAACGCCCA